Molecule: ribosomal RNA, 494 nt
Filed under: uncultured bacterium
Lineage: Bacteria
Description: partial 16S ribosomal RNA
Rfam family: Bacterial small subunit ribosomal RNA
Source: RNAcentral
GACGAACGCUGGCGGCGCGCUUAACACAUGCAAGUCGAACGGAAAGGCCUGCUUUCCCUUGUGGAUUGCGGGUACUCGAGUGGCGAACGGGUGAGUAACACGUGAGUGAUCUGCCCCCAACUUGGGUAUAAGCCUGGGAAACUGGGUCUAAUUCCCGAUAGGACUGCAGGGUGGUGCCUGUGGUGGAAAACGAUUUUCUAGUGGUUGAGGAUGAGCUCGCGGCCUAUCAGCUUGUUGGUGGGGUAAUGGCCUACCAAGGCGGCGACGGGUAGCCGGCCUGAGAGGGUGGACGGUCACAUUGGGACUGAGAUACGGCCCAGACUCCUACGGGAGGCAGCAGUGGGGAAUAUUGCACAAUGGGCGGAAGCCUGAUGCAGCGACGCCGCGUGGGGGAUGACGGCCUUCGGGUUGUAAACUCCUUUCGACCGCGAGGAAGCCACCUGGUUGGAAGGGUGGUGACGGUAGUGGUAGAAGAAGCACCGGCUAACUACGUG